Molecule: ribosomal RNA, 440 nt
Filed under: uncultured bacterium
Lineage: Bacteria
Description: partial 16S ribosomal RNA
Rfam family: Bacterial small subunit ribosomal RNA
Source: RNAcentral
CCUACGGGUGGCAGCAGUGGGGAAUAUUGCACAAUGGGGGAAACCCUGAUGCAGCGACGCCGCGUGAAGGAAGAAGUAUUUCGGUAUGUAAACUUCUAUCAGCAGGGAAGAAAAUGACGGUACCUGACUAAGAAGCCCCGGCUAACUACGUGCCAGCAGCCGCGGUAAUACGUAGGGGGCAAGCGUUAUCCGGAUUUACUGGGUGUAAAGGGAGCGUAGGCGGUAUAGCAAGUCAGAAGUGAAAGCCCAGGGCUCAACUCCGGGACUGCUUUUGAAACUGUUGAACUAGAGUGCGGGAGAGGUAAGUGGAAUUCCUAGUGUAGCGGUGAAAUGCGUAGAUAUUAGGAGGAACACCAGUGGCGAGGGCGGCUUGCUGGACUGUAAAUGACGCUGAGGCUCGAAAGCGUGGGGAGCAAACAGGAUUAGAUACCCCUGUAGUC